AUGUUUAAGCAAGAUGACUUUAAUGCUUAUUUUGGUAGACAAUUAAAACAAGAUGCCUAUAUGAUUAAACACUUGGGUGCUUAUAUGGCUGAUAUUAGACAUGAACUUAAACUUGUUAGCAAACAUGCUUCUAGGGUUACCACUCAAGUAGAACAAGUACUUAAAGCUCAAAAAGAAGCGCUUGAUGAAAUGAAUAGUAAGAAAAAUGAUUAUGCUAUUAGAGUGGCUACUAGAACCGGUAGAAUGACUCAGGAACCUUUGUAUCCUGAAGGCCACCCUAAGAGGAUCGAGCAAGAUUCUCGGAGAAAUGAUAUUGAUGUACCUAGUUCUUCUAAAAAGAAGAAAAAGAAAAAUGAUAGGACUUUGCAAACUUCUAGUGAACCUAUCGCUGAGCCACCUGAGAAUCCAAAUGAUAUUUCUACUUAUGAUGCUGAAACACAAUCAGGUGAUGAACAUGAACCCAGAGAUAAUGUUAAUGAUAAUGUUCAUAUUGAUGCUCAACCUAGUAAUGAUAAUGAUGUAGAAGCCGAACCUGCUGUUGACCUUGAU
RNAcentral lists this ribosomal RNA (549 nucleotides) under Triticum aestivum (bread wheat). Its description in RNAcentral is "partial small subunit ribosomal RNA". The record is from RNAcentral. Lineage: Eukaryota; Viridiplantae; Streptophyta; Magnoliopsida; Poales; Poaceae.